RNAcentral lists this ribosomal RNA (497 nucleotides) under uncultured bacterium. RNAcentral's name for it is "partial 16S ribosomal RNA". It matches the Rfam family "Bacterial small subunit ribosomal RNA", at positions 28 to 507 of the family's 1533-position model. The record is from RNAcentral.
GAUGAACGCUGGCGGCGUGCCUAAUACAUGCAAGUCGAGCGAACGGACGAGAAGCUUGCUUCUCUGAUGUUAGCGGCGGACGGGUGAGUAACACGUGGAUAACCUACCUAUAAGACUGGGAUAACUUCGGGAAACCGGAGCUAAUACCGGAUAAUAUUUUGAACCGCAUGGUUCAAAAGUGAAAGACGGUCUUGCUGUCACUUAUAGAUGGAUCCGCGCUGCAUUAGCUAGUUGGUCAGGUAACGGCUUACCAAGGCAACGAUGCAUAGCCGACCUGAGAGGGGGGUCGGCCACACUGGAGGUGCGCCGCGCUCCAGACUCCUACGGGACGCAGCAGUAGGGAACCGUCCGCAAUGGGCGAGAGCCUGGCGGAGCGACGCCGCGUGAGUGAUGAAGGUCUUCGGAUCGUAAAGCUCUGUUAUUAGGGAAGAACAUCUGUGUAAGUAAAUGUGCACAUCUUGACGGUACCGAAUAAGAAAGCCCCGGCUAACUACGUG